Tachyglossus aculeatus (Australian echidna) is the source of this 351-nucleotide long non-coding RNA. RefSeq lists it as uncharacterized. The record is from RefSeq and is a predicted model, not a curated record. NCBI's taxonomy places the organism in Eukaryota, Metazoa, Chordata, Mammalia, Monotremata, Tachyglossidae. The transcript has 2 exons.
AGAGAUUUUUUAAAAAAUUACACUAUCACACUCCGGUGAUAGGAUACCAACUUUGCUUUUAUUUCCUAAUUUGUCCAUACUGAUUCUUUCCCUUUUCCCCCAUCUUAAUUUUUAGGCAUACCCGAGAGAAAAUACUUUCAGAGCUGGAGAAGGUACAAAAGAGGAGACUUUAAAAUGGGGAGCCAAUACCACCAGUUUCCUAAAACCAUGGAGCCCAAAACAGAAAAGAAUGUUUCAGGGGUGCUCGCUCCAGAGUCUCAAAAUUUCCUUCCUACUUUUUGAUGAGAUUUUUCUGACAAUGAAGGCAUUGAAGGCAUUCCCCUACAAUGAUUACAUUUUCUUCAUUAGAAA